GGAAAAGCUCAAAUUUAAAAUCUGAGGGUCUUUACGGCCUUCCGAGUUGUAAUCUAGAGAAGUGCUAUCCGCGCUGGACCGUGUACAAGUCUCCUGGAACGGAGCGUCAUAGAGGGUGAGAAUCCCGUCUUUGACACGGACUACCAGGGCUUUUGUGAUGCGCUCUCAAAGAGUCGAGUUGUUUGGGAAUGCAGCUCUAAAUGGGUGGUAAAUUCCAUCUAAAGCUAAAUAUUGGCGAGAGACCGAUAGCGAACAAGUACCGUGAGGGAAAGAUGAAAAGAACUUUGGAAAGAGAGUUAAACAGUACGUGAAAUUGUUGAAAGGGAAACGCUUGAAGUCAGUCGCGUUGGCCAGGAAUCAACCUUGCUUUUGCUUGGCGUACUUUCUGGUUAACGGGUCAGCAUCAAUUUUGAUCGGUGGAUAAAGAUCAGGGGAAUGUGGCAUCUUCGGAUGUGUUAUAGCCUCUGUUCGCAUACAUCGGUUGGGAUUGAGGAACUCAGCACGCC
Molecule: ribosomal RNA, 506 nt
Filed under: Tricholoma sp. LCG-2012
Lineage: Eukaryota; Fungi; Basidiomycota; Agaricomycetes; Agaricales; Tricholomataceae
Description: LSU rRNA
Rfam family: Eukaryotic large subunit ribosomal RNA
Source: RNAcentral